Molecule: ribosomal RNA, 484 nt
Filed under: uncultured bacterium
Lineage: Bacteria
Description: partial 16S ribosomal RNA
Rfam family: Bacterial small subunit ribosomal RNA
Source: RNAcentral
AUUGAACGCUGGCGGCAGGCCUAACACAUGCAAGUCGAGCGGAUGAAGGGAGCUUGCUCCUGGAUUCAGCGGCGGACGGGUGAGUAAUGCCUAGGAAUCUGCCUGGUAGUGGGGGAUAACGUCCGGAAACGGGCGCUAAUACCGCAUACGUCCUGAGGGAGAAAGUGGGGGAUCUUCGGACCCCACGCUAUCAGAUGAGCCUAGGUCGGAUUAGCUAGUUGGUGGGGUAAAGGCCUACCAAGGCGACGAUCCGUAACUGGUCUGAGAGGAUGAUCAGUCACACUGGAACUGAGACACGGUCCAGACUCCUACGGGAGGCAGCAGUGGGGAAUAUUGGACAAUGGGCGAAAGCCUGAUCCAGCCAUGCCGCGUGUGUGAAGAAGGUCUUCGGAUUGUAAAGCACUUUAAGUUGGGAGGAAGGGCAGUAAGUUAAUACCUUGCUGUUUUGACGUUACCAACAGUAUAAGCACCGGCUAACUUCGUG